Molecule: long non-coding RNA, 1048 nt
Filed under: Equus asinus (donkey)
Lineage: Eukaryota; Metazoa; Chordata; Mammalia; Perissodactyla; Equidae
Description: lncRNA (ENSEASG00005035520.1)
Source: RNAcentral
CACCCCUGACCUCACCUCCCACCCUUGCGCGCCGAGGCUUUUUAUUCCCCUCCCCCACCGGCCGGCCUGCUCCCGCCAGCUCGCUCCUGGAGCCGGAGCUGCAGGGCGCGGGCCGGGAGGUCCGAGGCCGCGCGCCGAUCGAAGAGCCUCGGGACGCGGGCACCGGCCGGAGUGACCGCCUUUCUUAGGAGCGGAGCGCAGCGCCGGGGCUGGGGGUGGUGGCGAGCCGGGCGUCCCUGCAGCUAUGCUGCCUGGUGGUGGGCUCCUGGUGCCUCGGGCGCCCCUCGGUGGCAUUCGCUCAGCUCUCGAGUUUCCUCGGGCAUCUGUGGGCACACUGGCUUCCAGCUGCUCCUUAUUCAUAAGCGCAGGGCAUAGGGCUGUGCAGACCCCAUUAGGGGCCCGAGGGUCCAAAGGCGCCAGGCCACAAGCCCCCUGUUGUGUCUUCAACCCUGAACCUGCAUUUCCUAACAGGAUGGAACAACUUGUCAAAGAGCAGGGCCUGGAUGGAGAAGAACCCAAGUCUUUCUGCCCUGGCCCACCCUGGUUCACCUCUGCUCUUUCUGUGAGGGACCCUCCACCCCUGCCCUCAGAGCCCAGCCUGCCUGCCCAGACCUCCAGUGUGAAUGGGAAUGCGCUUCCUCCCGGAAAGCUUGGCCUCAGAUGGACGACCAGCUGAUCUCUCAGCUCACGGUUGUGAAAUCCGAGGUCCCCUCCCUCCGCUUGCCUUUCUCCACGCCUUCCGACAUGCCAGCCCCUCGAUUUUUCUGUUGAUUGACUACCCUCUCCGUGAGAACGUCUGUUCCAUGAGUGAGGGGCUCCGCAAAGCCCAGAAGACCCAUGGCUGCAUCCCCCGUUCCUGAAACAGUGCCUGGCACAUGAGAGCACUGGUUGGAUGGAUGGACAGAUGGAUGGACAGAUUGCUCCAUUCUCAGCCUCCUGUCCCAGAGACAGAGCCAGCCGGACAAGAUUGGGGUCAUCUCCAGCCCAGACACACUUCCCUGUUCUUUUCUCGUGGUUCUUGGGUGAAGCCUUGAGGAAGAGCAUCCCC